This 62-nucleotide non-coding RNA is filed under the name Mus musculus (house mouse). The record is from miRBase by way of RNAcentral. Lineage: Eukaryota; Metazoa; Chordata; Mammalia; Rodentia; Muridae. RNAcentral also lists the same sequence under 1 other name.
UAAGGGGAGAGGUGUGGUGUAGGACAGGGUCUCUCUAGUCUUUCAUUCACCUCUGCUCUUGC